UGAAAGGACUGAUCUGUCAAAUCGGGGCCUGGAGUUCAGCUCCUGCUCUACUCCUUCCCAACUGUGGAGCUUAGGAAAGUUGCUGAAACCUGGGACCUCCCCGUCCUCCGCUGUCAGCCAGAGGUCCCUGCUGCUUCGUGCUGCUGCCCUGAGAAUUCACCGACAGUGCACGCAAAGCCCCUAAGAUUGUGCCUGAUACUCAGUAAGCAAGCAGGGUCUGUUCCUUAUCACGGUUAGGUUUUCUACCAUGAACGUUUAUAUUCCUGCCAAUUAUACCCAAGAAAAUUGUGGAGAAAGUGUUAAAAGUUAAGAGAAGGAAAGCAAAUACAUCCCUGGGUGGCUGGGAUGGUGCUGUGGGGCUGCGUAGGGGGAUGGCCAGCACUAGUGACCAGCUGCUACGUCCAUUGAUUGAGGGUUAGAACGUUCCAUAGCCAGACUGAUCCUGCAGAAACACAGACACACACACAUACACACAGUUAAGCCCCAGAUGCCAGGGAGACUGGAGUGCCCUCUGCUUAGGUCUACUGUCCAAAGAGAGAAAGCCUAGGCCUUGGACACCUGUCUAGGUUGUAAAAACCCAGACACAUGGGACUCUCUGACUCUUGGAGCAAUUUUACGUUCAAAAAGAUCAAGGUUAGAAGCCAGGGUCCUUUCCGUCCCAUUUCCAAGGAGCAAAAGUCGCUCUUCCUCCUUUCUGGAUGAAGAGAGAGAGAUACAGCUACUCCUGUCCUGUGCAUAAGCAGAGGAAAUCCUUUGUUUUCCAUCCCUCAUCUUCGAGGUGUAGGGAGCGCUCAUGUAGAAAGUCCCCAUAGGCUUUCAUCACCUUGCCCCAGGUCUGGGUGUGGGGGCCGAUGGGGCAGCGUCACUGGCUGUUGGUCUGGUGUGAGUGCCAGUAACAGAGCUGCCUCGUGUUUUUGCAGCAUUCACAUGCGUAAAGUACAUAACCGUGCAAGCAGGCAACAUCCGGACCCUGCAUGGUUUGACAAACCGGCCAUGUAGCUGAGCACAUCACGGUGCCCAGAGAAACCCAUGUCCCAUCUCUGUGACAAGGAACAAGGGAGCAAGGUUGACGACACAGCCCAUGAGGGACAUUGGCAGGACCAGGAAGCUCCAGGCAGCCUCAUCCAGUGCUCCUUCUUUUAGCAAAGACCCCCCAAACAUGAAUAAACAGCUAAUUUUUUACAAAUUGUAGCUGGAUCCUUUUAUAGAAGAGUACACUCCUAAUGAAAGGACUCUGUCCCAAGCUGUUCCUGAAAGAAAUGGAGAAUGUUGGCGUCUCCUGGCAUUUCCGCUUCUGAUCAGCCUCAUCUGAGAAUUUAAUCCAUUUUCUGAUCAAAGUCCAAAGUCUCUGUUUUGCUCGAGCUUUAAUCAUUGGCUGUAAAGACUCCCUGCUAUUGCACACACAUAUUAAAAUCAGGUUACAGCCAAACAGUGAUUUGGUUCUGAGGGCUGGGGGGUUGGGUAAGGAAUACACAUCUAAAUAAGCAAUGGGUACUCCCAGGUCUCAGGUAAAAGUUAACAAUGUUUUCAGCAUAUUGGGAAUAUUUUAUCCUAUAUGCUGAAUUUUCUGUAGGCUGAAUGCUAUAUGUGAAUUGUUGAAAUGGCCCUGACCUGUGUUUUCUGUUAUUUUUUUAACACUUAAGCAAAA
This 1648-nucleotide long non-coding RNA is filed under the name Canis lupus familiaris (dog). RNAcentral's name for it is "lncRNA (ENSCAFG00805010619.1, ENSCAFG00845016003.1)". Lineage: Eukaryota; Metazoa; Chordata; Mammalia; Carnivora; Canidae. The record is from RNAcentral.